This 237-nucleotide ribosomal RNA is filed under the name uncultured bacterium. Its description in RNAcentral is "partial 16S ribosomal RNA". It matches the Rfam family "Bacterial small subunit ribosomal RNA", at positions 524 to 759 of the family's 1533-position model. The record is from RNAcentral.
UACGUAGGGUGCAAGCGUUGUCCGGAAUUAUUGGGCGUAAAGAGCUCGUAGGCGGUCUGUCGCGUCUGCUGUGAAAACUCAGGGCUUAACCCUGAGCUUGCAGUGGGUACGGGCAGACUAGAGUGCGGUAGGGGAGACUGGAAUUCCUGGUGUAGCGGUGAAAUGCGCAGAUAUCAGGAGGAACACCGGUGGCGAAGGCGGGUCUCUGGGCCGUAACUGACGCUGGAGGAGCGGAAA